RNAcentral lists this ribosomal RNA (320 nucleotides) under uncultured eukaryote. RNAcentral's name for it is "partial 18S ribosomal RNA". It matches the Rfam family "Eukaryotic small subunit ribosomal RNA", at positions 1470 to 1796 of the family's 1831-position model. The record is from RNAcentral.
CCCCUAGAUGUUCUGGGCCGCACGCGCGCUACACUGAACAGUUCAACAAGUCUUAACCUUGGCCGAUAGGUCUGGGUAAUCUUUGAACGCUGUUCGUGACUGGGAUAGACCUUUGCAAUUAUGGGUCUUCAACGAGGAAUUCCUAGUAAACGCAAGUCAUCAGCUUGCAUUGAUUACGUCCCUGCCCUUUGUACACACCGCCCGUCGCACCUACCGAUUGAAUGGUCCGGUGAAAUCUCGGGACGGCGGCUUGGUCGCUUGCGUCCGACUGCUGAAACUUGAUUAAACCAUAUCAUUUAGAGGGAGGUGAAGUCGUAACA